Molecule: ribosomal RNA, 497 nt
Filed under: uncultured bacterium
Lineage: Bacteria
Description: partial 16S ribosomal RNA
Rfam family: Bacterial small subunit ribosomal RNA
Source: RNAcentral
GAUGAACGCUGGCGGCGUGCCUAAUACAUGCAAGUCGAGCGAACAGCUGAGGAUGUUGCUCCUCUUACGUUAGCGUCGGACGGGUGAGUAACACGUGGGUAACAUAUCUAUAAGACUUGGAUAACUUCGUGAAACCGGAUCUAAUAUCGGUUAAUUUAUUUAACCGCAUGGUUCAAUAGUUAAAGAAGGUUUUGCUGUCACUUAUAGAUGGAUGCGCGCCGCAUUAGCUAGUUGGUAAGGUAACGGUUUACCAAGGCUACGAUGCGUAGCCGACGUGAGAGGGUGAUCGGCCACACUGGAACUGAGACACGGUCCAGACUCCUACGGGAGGCAGCAGUAGGGAAUCUUCCGCAAUGGGGGAAAGCCUGACGGAGCAACGCGGCGUGAGUGAUGAAGGUCUACGGAUCGUAAAACUCUGUUAUUAGGGAAGAACAAAUGUGUAAGUAACUAUGCACGUCUUGACGGUACCUAAUCAGAAAGCCACGGCUAACUACGUG